AGUUCCUAUGUUGAAGGAUGGGCACUUUAAGGUCAACAGAGUGAGCUGGGAAGUUGAAACGUGAAGAUGUGAGGACAGAGUUGGUAUCUAAGUUUCUUGUAAGGAACUGGAUGCACCAAAACCUCAAGAAAAUACAGGAAGAUGAAUGGCCUAAAUAUGGUGAUUCAACACUUCAGUUGACAUAUUAUCUGGGCUAUAGAUUUCAUGAGUUUGAAUUUGUAAGUUUCAGAAAAACCAUCCAAAUGGUGUACAGAAAUAGAAUACAAAACACGAUACGGAUCAGAAAACAGUAUUAGAAGAUAAAAACCAACAAGAAUGAACAGCUGCAGAAAUACCACUAUGGA
Long non-coding RNA from Rhineura floridana, 344 nucleotides. RefSeq lists it as uncharacterized. Lineage: Eukaryota; Metazoa; Chordata; Lepidosauria; Squamata; Rhineuridae. The transcript has 3 exons. The record is from RefSeq and is a predicted model, not a curated record.